GUCCAAUUGACGAGUCCCAAAUAGGACGAAACGCGUGUCAUGGAU
Molecule: non-coding RNA, 45 nt
Organism: Schistosoma mansoni
Lineage: Eukaryota; Metazoa; Platyhelminthes; Trematoda; Strigeidida; Schistosomatidae
Source: Rfam